GGGCCUUGUACACACCGCCCGUCACACCAUGGGAGUGGGUUGCAAAAGAAGUAGGUAGCUUAACCUCCGGGAGGGCGCUUACCACUUUGUGAUUCAUGACUGGGGUGAAGUCGUAACAAGGUAACCGUAGGGGAACCUGCGGUUGGAUCACCUCCUUACCU
RNAcentral lists this ribosomal RNA (161 nucleotides) under Morganella morganii. Its description in RNAcentral is "partial 16S ribosomal RNA". It matches the Rfam family "Bacterial small subunit ribosomal RNA", at positions 1376 to 1533 of the family's 1533-position model. Lineage: Bacteria; Pseudomonadati; Pseudomonadota; Gammaproteobacteria; Enterobacterales; Morganellaceae. The record is from RNAcentral.